RNAcentral lists this ribosomal RNA (460 nucleotides) under uncultured bacterium. Its description in RNAcentral is "partial 16S ribosomal RNA". It matches the Rfam family "Bacterial small subunit ribosomal RNA", at positions 338 to 795 of the family's 1533-position model. The record is from RNAcentral.
CCUACGGGAGGCAGCAGUGAGGAAUAUUGGUCAAUGGGCGCAAGCCUGAACCAGCCAAGUAGCGUGAAGGAUGACUGCCCUACGGGUUGUAAACCUCUUUUAUAAAGGAAUAAAGUGAGGCACGUGUGCCUUUUUGUAGGUACUUUAUGAAUAAGGAUCGGCUAACUCCGUGCCAGCAGCCGCGGUAAUACGGAGGAUCCGAGCGUUAUCCGGAUUUAUUGGGUUUAAAGGGAGCGUAGAUGGGUUGUUAAGUCAGUGGUGAAAGGUUGCGGCUCAACCGUAAAAUUGCAAUUGGUACUGGCAGUCUUGAGUACAGGUGAGGUAGGCGGAAUUCGUGGUGUAGCGGUGAAAUGCUUAGAUAUCACGAAGAACUCCGAUUGCGAAGGCAGCUUACUAAACUGCCACUGACAUUGAUGCUCGAAAGUGUGGGUAUCGAACAGGAUUAGAUACCCCAGUAGUC